GAAAUGCGAUAAGUAAUGUGAAUUGCAGAAUUCAGUGAAUCAUCGAAUCUUUGAACGCACAUUGCGCCCCUUGGUAUUCCGAGGGGCAUGCCUGUUCGAGCGUCAUUUCAACCCUCAAGCUCUGCUUGGUAUUGGGCCGUCGCGGGGCGCGAAACCCCCUGCGGGCCUUAAAGCUGUGGGCGGUGGUGCUUUGCCUCAAGCGUAGUAAAGUUUAUUCUUUCGCUUUGGAGGUCGGGGCCUCACCCGCCGGACAAACCGGGCCUUUGCGCCCAUUUUUCAAGGUUGACCUCGGAUCAGGUAGGGAUACCCGCUGAACUUAAGC
RNAcentral lists this unclassified non-coding RNA (322 nucleotides) under plant metagenome. RNAcentral describes it as "partial contains 5.8S ribosomal RNA, internal transcribed spacer 2, and large subunit ribosomal RNA". The stretch from base 1 to 105 matches the Rfam family "5.8S ribosomal RNA", at positions 50 to 154 of the family's 154-position model. The record is from RNAcentral.